This 396-nucleotide ribosomal RNA is filed under the name uncultured bacterium. RNAcentral's name for it is "bacterial SSU rRNA". It matches the Rfam family "Bacterial small subunit ribosomal RNA", at positions 123 to 518 of the family's 1533-position model. The record is from RNAcentral.
AACCUACCCGUCAACCGGGGCAUAACGCCGAGAAAUUGGCGCUAAUAUCCCAUGUGUAUUGGAAGUGGCAUCACUAUCAAUAUAAAGAUCCGUUGGUUAAGGAUGGGCAUGCGUAACAUUAGCUAGUUGCGGGUAAGGCCCACCAAGGCGACGAUGUUUAGGGGUUCUGAGAGGAUUCACCCCCACACUGGAACUGAGACACGGUCCAGACUCCUACGGGAGGCAGCAGUAGGGAAUAUUGGGCAAUGGAGGCAACUCUGACCCAGCCAUGCCCGCGUGAAGGAAGACGGCCCUAUGGGUUGUAAACUUCUUUUGCCGCAGAGUAACCCGGGGGACGCGUCCCCCGCUGAGAGUAUGCGGCGAAUAAGUAUCGGCUAACUCCGUGCCAGCCGCAGC